AUGGCCGGCGCCACCCUCGCCGCCGCGAGAUUCCCCGCGGCCGUUGCGCUCCUCCGCACUCGCCGCUCCCCGGUGGUCGCCGUGCCGCUCGCCCCGUCCGGUCUCCGCCACCACCGCCGCAGCGUCGCCAUGGCCACCGGCGCCGCGCCCUCACCCAUUCCCGCCUCCGAUCCGCUUCCCAAGGUUUCUGAUCUAUUUUUCCGGUCAGUUCUCUCAAACAUGCAAAAAGUUUAUUUGAGCAGGAAUCCAACUGCCGAAAAGAUUCUGGACCUUGUCCAUUCUUACGAUGGGGACCACAUUUGUUUUGAUCACUUUGCUUUCAGAACAUUUGGGGUUGAUGGUUAUGGUAUAGACUCACUUGCUGAAUUUUUUACUGAUUUUGGUUACGAGUCUCGUGAAGAACUAAGGUUCCCAGCGAAAAAACUAAGAGCACUAUGGUUUUCCCCUCCCAACAAUGAUGGAUACACCAGAGCUGGUAUAUAUGGACCUUUGCCAAGGAUAUUCAUUUCUGAACUUCUUGUAGAUGAGCUGAGUGCUCCGAGCCAGGAAAUUAUACGGAAAUACAUCAAAACAUCAGCUAAUGGAAAUAAAUAUGCUGUUCUUGCAAGUACAUUUGGAGAGCUGACAUGGGAGAAGCCCACUUAUUCUGAUUUCCAGGUUUUAUCUAGGGAAAGUGAAUAUGCUGGAUGGACUCUUGUUAAUGGCUAUGCACUGAACCAUGCCACAGUCUCCACUCAUCGCUUAGAGUCAGAUAUCAGAAGUAUUAGUAAAUUCAACAAAUUUGUGGAGGACAACGGGUUCAAGUUAAAUACAGAAGGAGGAAUUUUGAAAGUGAGUCCUGACGGUCUCCUCCAGCAAAGCUCAACUGUAGCUGAUUCAUCAUUAUUUACUUUUGCGGAUGGAAUCACUGAAUCUAUUCCACGUUCCUAUAUUGAAUUUGCUGAACGGCUGCCACUUCCACAGUUCAGAGAUUUGCAAGAUGAAGAGGUCAAGGAACACCACAGGCGCGAUGGUUUUGAGGUGGGCAACGCAGACAAGAUAUUUGAGAGCACUUCAAAGGAUCAGCUUACCAGAAGGUCUGCAUAA
Molecule: ribosomal RNA, 1086 nt
Filed under: Triticum aestivum (bread wheat)
Lineage: Eukaryota; Viridiplantae; Streptophyta; Magnoliopsida; Poales; Poaceae
Description: partial small subunit ribosomal RNA
Source: RNAcentral